AAGUUCGAAACAGAAGUUUUCGGUGCGUAUUUCUUCAUUUUCAAGUGGGUUGUGGUUCAACAAGUAAAAAGCGGCCAAAUGAAUGGUGAAACAAUAGAAAUGUGAUAGGAAGAAUCAAUUCUUAUUUCAGCCUCAAAUUAAGACUAGACACAUCCAAAUUGAUGGCAAUCAUUCGACCUCAAGUUUCGAAUCUCACCUAAACAAGAACUUGUCAAGUAACUUUAGUACUAAUAAAACACUGUAUAUGACAAACAAGACACCAAUGGGGUGAAUUUCUCUGAGUAAUCUCUUUUGAAUCUCAUAGUUGUCUUGUCUAAUUUACUUUUUUUUGUUUUGCUGCAGUCAUUGCAAUUGUUCUCUGUUUGUUUGCUUUUAUAUUGCGCUUAAUUUUUCUCUCUUAUUCAGUCAACCUUUUCAAUUCUUUUCUUUGAAUUUUCAAAUGCAUAUGAUAGACCACAAGAUUACUAAGCUUCUAUUCAGAAACUACGAUAAAUAAUGAUGAAAUUAAAUGCAUAAAUUCCUUACACUUCAGAGAUAAAUAAUGUGUAAGUUAUCAUAUAUCUGUUAUCAAAUUGGUAUCUGUUUUACUGUUAUUUGUACUUUUCAUUUACUAUCGGACUAUGAUACCUUCACCAUAUAGCAAAUAAGUAAUGUUGUUUUAAGAUAACAUCUUUUUUAAGAGUUGCAGAUAAAUACGUCUUACUGACUAUUUGCUUAAUAUGAAUAUAGUGUUUCGAAAUGCGCAUAGACGUGUUUCAAUAAUUAUGUAAGCUAAAGUCCAUUUAAGCCAAAAAUAUUUAUAAAUUCGAACCAUUUGUUAUGUGUAGAUUAAUUUCAAAGUACAAAGUGAAAUUUUGCUUCAUAUCAAUAUAUUUUUAACAUUUUUGGUAGUACCUAUUUAUAGUAAGAUCUUAUAUGUACAGUUUCUGCUAUACACAUUUGUUUCUUUCUUUCUAAUUUUGUUUGCCGAGCAUAUGGAUUUUUAGUUAGUCGAAGCAAUGUUAUUGGGACAUUAUUCAAAGAAAUAUUUUUUUUAUAAGUAUUAAUAAUAAUGCUGUAAUUUUAGAAAUUCCAAAUCGUUUUCUUGAACUUGAUGAGGUCAUUUUUGCUCCUUGACUCUUUUAUAUAAUAAUUAUCAAAUGGUUUGCUGAUUCUUUCUGUUAUCAUUUUUAAAACAGCAUAUACUUGUACUAGUCGCGGUCUAUUUAGGAUACCCAUUAAUUUUGCUGUAAUUAGACCACAGGAUAAUACAAAAUUCAACGAGGAUGGCUAAGGUUAUGACAUAUUGCCUAGAUAACGAUUGUGAAAAAAUUUUGAUAAUGACGCUGAAAUAAAUCUCAGCAUUUGAGUAUUAUGAAAUUAUGGUGAAUUGUUUAGAUUUAGUGAAGGUCAAUUCGUCAUGAAUUAAAUUUAUGCUGAAGGUGUUGAUGUGACAUAACUUUAAAAUGAGAAGGUUAUUAAAGUUAAAGUUUAUAUAUAAGAAUUAAUUACCACAGUAAGAUCGCAUCAAUUCACCUUUAAAGUGUAGUAGAGUUAAUUUAUUAAGAUCGCGAUAAGGAAUCGGGUAAAAUAUAUUUUAAACUUAAGUUAAAAUGUUAUUUGUACAUAUCGCUUUUCUCCCUUAAGCACUUUUAAAAUUAGAAUGAUUGUGCUUAACUGGUAUCUUUAUUACCUCACAAAUGUUGGUCAUGUUUAUAUGAAUAAAAUUCGUGUUUAAUCAGUUUUACUGCUUCUUUCGUUAUUUUAAAUGUUCUUUUGUCAAGAAAGAAAGUUAAGACACCAGUUACGUAGAAUAAGGAAUUCCUUCUAACAUUUAUGACCUAAUUGGUUUAAUUCAUCAUCGAUUUGUUUCGUAAAUCAUAUUUCUUUCAUUCACAUAUGUUUAUAAAGUUUUCAUAGAAAAAAGCUGUGAAUGCUAUACGUAUUAAAAUCGAAAGCAAAGUGUUAACAAUAUUCGCUUCACUAAAUAAAAUGUAGUUUUUAUUUAUUAUGAAUAGAUCUCAUUAGACUUUAAUGUGAAAGUAAUUGAAAAUAUACAUACAUAGUUCCAGAUAGUUAAUUAAUAAAUGCAAGUAAUUUGUUUGUUAAAAAAAUAAUAAACCAAUCCAUUGCUAUAUUGUGAUAACCUUAGUGGAAUGUACACAUCAGUUUAUCUCUAACAAAUAAACUUUAUUUACACAUU
Dendroctonus ponderosae (mountain pine beetle) is the source of this 2182-nucleotide long non-coding RNA. RefSeq lists it as uncharacterized. The record is from RefSeq and is a predicted model, not a curated record. The transcript has 2 exons. NCBI's taxonomy places the organism in Eukaryota, Metazoa, Arthropoda, Insecta, Coleoptera, Curculionidae.